GCCAUCACCAAAGCCAGUCCUCACAGCUCCUGCCUCGCUCCGACCACCAUCCCCACCCGCCGAAACUUGAACUGGUAGAGGCAGGUGGUGGAGGACUCUCGGCUCCAGAUCCCAACUCCUUUCCCAACAGCCAGGCCCACAGCCCUAGCCCCCAUUGGAGUCGGGGAGCAGGGAAGAGCCAAGAUCUAAAUCAAGUUCAAGGUUAAAGCAUUAUAAAUGAACAGGACUUGGUCUUAAAUCCCAAAAGUGACUAGAAAGUUAGAAUUUGGCCAAAAUUUCAUGAAAAGGAGCCACAACCAAAAACGAGUAGAGGGAGGGGUACACAGUUCAACAAAAGUUAAAUACCACUCUCUGUCCUCAACAAAUUUAGACUUUUCAAUAAACCAGCUACAGAUGAGAUGCAUUCUUUAAUUAGCACUUUCAAAUCACUCCACGUUCUAUUUCAUUUCUUUUUAUGCCCAAAGACCAUCUUUCAGUCUUUGAAGACUGUACGGGUCCGAUCACAAUCCAAUCCAAGUGCCUGAGAAGCUGUGGAUCUGAAAAUCUAGGCAUGCCCCUUCAUCCUCGUGAGCUACAGCACGCUGCCUCCCUUAGCGCCGUCCACCAGAAUCCUACACUCUGUUUUCAGAAGGGAGACAUCUCCGCUGUAGCCAUUCUGGCAUUUCACAAGUCCUGUUGCCUCAGGGAAUGCAUGUGAGGAAAUCCAGGCCUAGGCAGAGAUUUCCUUCAAAUGCCGGGGGGAGGUGAAAAAUGAAAGACGUGCAUGGCAAACCAAACAUUGAGGUCAUUUGGUUUCCAAAUGGGAGGGAGCACAACACAAGCAUGUGCAGAUUCGCCUGCAAAGAUUCCCAGUUCUUGGACCUGGGGCGCAUAAUUGAAAUGAUGCUAUUGGCAUAGGGGAUGUCCAAAUAGCUCCAUAAUUAUUCUUGAUUGCAGUGACUCACUUGGGGGAAGACAGAUGGAUGGGUGGGAAGGAUAAAAACAGAAUAGUGAGGAGUGGGGGGCAUGUUUAUCUAAUUUUGAUUUUUGAGUUUGUGGAAGUCAGUCCAUGACACCAUUAACUCAUUUUAGAUACGUUUUAUGGUUUUUUAAAAUCUCCUUAAAAAGUAGUUGCCUAAAAGAUGAUGAUGUGUUAAAUGAGGGCUUUAAAAUAAUCCCAUAGGGUAGAGGGAAUGGGUGGGAGUAUAGAUAAAACAAGAUGUUCUCGAGUUAAUAACUGAAAGCUGGCUGGUGGUCCAUGGGUGUUCAUGAUAAUGUUCCUAUGAAUGUCUUUUUUAAAAGGCCUUUCAAAUUGCAUAAUGAUUUAGUAGCUUGAAGGGCACCUGGGUGGCUCAGGGGUUGAACAUCUGCCUUUGGCUCAGGUCCUGGGAUGGAGUCCCACAAGUUCCCUGCAGGGGGCCUGCUUCUCCCUCUCUCCGUCUCUGCCUCUCUCUGUGUCUCUCAUGAA
RNAcentral lists this long non-coding RNA (1447 nucleotides) under Canis lupus familiaris (dog). Its description in RNAcentral is "lncRNA (ENSCAFG00000051684.1)". Lineage: Eukaryota; Metazoa; Chordata; Mammalia; Carnivora; Canidae. The record is from RNAcentral.